ACCCGCUGAACUUAAGCAUAUCAAUAAGCGGAGGAAAAGAAACCAACAGGGAUUGCCCUAGUAACGGCGAGUGAAGCGGCAACAGCUCAAAUUUGAAAUCUGGCUCCUUUGGGGUCCGAGUUGUAAUUUGUAGAGGGUGCUUUGGCGUUGGUUGUGGUCUAAGUUCCUUGGAACAGGACGUCACAGAGGGUGAGAAUCCCGUACGUGGCCGCCAGCCUUCGCCGUGUAAAGCCCCUUCGAUGAGUCGAGUUGUUUGGGAAUGCAGCUCUAAAUGGGAGGUAAAUUUCUUCUAAAGCUAAAUAUUUGCCAGAGACCGAUAGCGCACAAGUAGAGUGAUCGAAAGAUGAAAAGCACUUUGGAAAGAGAGUCAAAAAGCACGUGAAAUUGUUGAAAGGGAAGCGCUUGCAGCUAGACGUGCCUUGGGUUGAUCAGCCGGACUUUUGCCCGGUGCACUCUUCCUUUGGCAGGCCAGCAUCAGUUUGGGCGGCUGGAUAAAGGUCUGUUAAACGUGACUUCCUUCGGGGAGAGCUUAUAGGGCAGACGACAUGCAGCCAGCCUGAACUGAGGUCCGCGCAUCUGCUAGGAUGCUGGCAUAAUAGCUGU
RNAcentral lists this ribosomal RNA (603 nucleotides) under uncultured fungus. Its description in RNAcentral is "eukaryotic LSU rRNA". It matches the Rfam family "Eukaryotic large subunit ribosomal RNA", at positions 23 to 641 of the family's 3401-position model. Lineage: Eukaryota; Fungi. The record is from RNAcentral.